Molecule: ribosomal RNA, 270 nt
Filed under: uncultured bacterium
Lineage: Bacteria
Description: partial small subunit ribosomal RNA
Rfam family: Bacterial small subunit ribosomal RNA
Source: RNAcentral
AGAACGAACGCUGGCGGCGUGGAUAAGACAUGCAAGUCGAACGGGACUUUUCCGAGUAGCAAUACCUGGAAAAGUUUAGUGGCGAACGGGUGCGUAACACGUGAGCGACCUGCCUUAUCGAGGGGGAUAGCCGGCCCAACGGCCGGGUAAUACCGCAUACGCUUGUUCGGGGGCAUCCCUGGACAAGGAAACCUCCGGGGCGAUGAGAGGGGCUCGCGGCCUAUCAGCUAGUUGGCGGGGUAACGGCCCACCAAGGCGAUGACGGGUAGC